GACCUGCCACUCGCCUAUCAAAACUGUAUCGCAAAUUUAACUACCCCUCAGUAACUCGAAAUGUCAAAACUAAAUUGUACGAAAAAUUAUUCAAACUGGCAACAAAGCAAAAAUUGUUGAUUUAGAAUAACAGUUACCUUAGUUACCACUGUUAUUUUGUUGGUAAAUAAAAAUAGUCUUAAAAUGAAUCAAAGUGUGACUGUGUUUACUAGAAUAAUGACUUCGUCAGAAAAGUUUCAGGAUGCCCGUUGCAAAGCCGAGCAACAAGUAUCUGCCAAGCUGAGCUGCAAGUUCCUUGUAUUAUUACAAGAAAUUGAGCUUUGUUUAUGAUGUGGAACUAUUAACUUAUGGGGUAGUUCAUGAGCGCCUCGUUUGGAAACAGGACCAUACGACAGCUUGCGGUCAGAAAGCAGGAAACAGUGAUCAGGGUCGCAUUCAGAUUGAGCAGAAUUAUGACUUUUUGAUAGAUAGUAAAAUUGUGUAGAUAGUAAGGUAGUAAAAUAUUCCAGAAAGCGAACUGGAAAUGCCAGCACCAAUUCAGCAGCAUUCAAGAACUGAUAAUGAUUUUAGGCAAAUGGCAUCGAGUCGGAUUCGGAUCUCGUCGGAGCGGUAGGAAAUUAUUCAUGUGAUCAAUGUUGUAUAAAAAAUAAAGCAUCCCUAAUGAAAUCAGUUCAACAUUUUA
This is a long non-coding RNA of Malaya genurostris, 682 nucleotides long. RefSeq lists it as uncharacterized. The transcript has 3 exons. The record is from RefSeq and is a predicted model, not a curated record. NCBI's taxonomy places the organism in Eukaryota, Metazoa, Arthropoda, Insecta, Diptera, Culicidae.